Molecule: small nucleolar RNA, 80 nt
Organism: Sarcophilus harrisii (Tasmanian devil)
Lineage: Eukaryota; Metazoa; Chordata; Mammalia; Dasyuromorphia; Dasyuridae
Source: Ensembl
GUCCAAAGAACAAUGAUGUACUCUUUUCCAAGCACAUAUCUGACCAAUCCAUGUGGAAAACAUUUCUGAGUUUUUUGGAC